This 119-nucleotide non-coding RNA is filed under the name Jeotgalibacillus malaysiensis. Its description in RNAcentral is "SAM-I sequence". It matches the Rfam family "SAM riboswitch aptamer (S box leader)". From Rfam's summary of the family: The SAM riboswitch is found upstream of a number of genes which code for proteins involved in methionine or cysteine biosynthesis in Gram-positive bacteria. The SAM riboswitch acts at the level of transcription termination control. The record is from RNAcentral. Lineage: Bacteria; Bacillati; Bacillota; Bacilli; Caryophanales; Caryophanaceae.
CUCUUAUCCAGAGUGGCGGAGGGACUAGGCCCUGCGAUGCCCGGCAACCAACGUAUCAAAUCCUGAUACGGAAAGGUGCUAAUUCCUACAGAUCCUUAAAAAGGUCUGAAAGAUAAGAG